This is a non-coding RNA of Labrus bergylta (ballan wrasse), 161 nucleotides long. The record is from RefSeq and is a predicted model, not a curated record. Lineage: Eukaryota; Metazoa; Chordata; Actinopteri; Labriformes; Labridae.
UCGCCCUAUUAACUUUAAAGAUGGACGUCCUGCUGAUGGAAGAGUUCAACAAGAGAGCUCCAACAUUCACAGAGAUCAACCAGACCAGCAGAAUCCAACAGACCUGGACUUCAUCUUUAUGCUGCUGGAGGAGAACAUCAUCACCUUUGUGAAGAACGAGC